This is a non-coding RNA of Ciona intestinalis (vase tunicate), 3008 nucleotides long. The record is from RefSeq and is a predicted model, not a curated record. NCBI's taxonomy places the organism in Eukaryota, Metazoa, Chordata, Ascidiacea, Phlebobranchia, Cionidae.
UACCCACAAAAGGUAGUGGCAGCGAGCCUUGAACCCAUUACCUAUGUGUUAGAGCCAGAGGAGGCGAGCCAAUCACUUUGGCAUGGCGCCAAUCAAACUUAAUUAUGUAUUGUUGUUGACUUUCUAUUUCCAGUAAUUUUUAAAUUGGAACGAUGCCACGUUAAUGUAAAUAACAUUCCAAUUUUAGGUUGCUUAGCUGCUAGUCUCUCUAACCACAUACUAGUAUACAAUGUAUCCAAGCAUAUUGCUUAUUUAACCUGACAAGGAGACGUUAAAUCACUUUGAUGUAAAGUGGACCUUGGUCUUAAUCCGUCUGUCUUUUAAACCUUACUCAAACAUUAACUUUCUUUUCUCCAGAUACUAUUUAAACAGGUGUACCUGGUUUUUAGAUCAGUUGUCCUUUAUGUUCCUCUGGCCAGUUUAAUUCGAAAUUGAAGAUUGUAAAGUGUUUUCGACCCUAAUUUAAUUUUAGGGCGGUCUUAAUUCAUUGAAAAUGGUUUCAAAAUUUAACUUUUCCGUACUGGUGGCCGGUAUUUUAAUACUAAAUGGAUGUUUUGCAAGCAAUUGGAAAUACACUGGAAAUUCAGGUCCACAGUUUUGGGAGGAAAAUUCUCCGAAAUGCGGGGAAAAUAAACAAUCCCCAAUUAAUAUAGAAACUAAAUCUGUUUUACCCGACAAACAACUGUCCCAGCUCCAGUUUACUGGAUAUAAUCAAAACUUAACGGGAGGAAUGCUCAUAAAUAAUGGCCAUUCAGCUCAGUUAAAUUUUCCUGCUGGAAAAAGUUUCCAACUUUUGAGCUCCGUUAACAGCGAGAUUUAUCUCGCUCUCCAACUUCAUUUCCACUGGACAUCGAAGAAUGUUUCGACACUAGGAGGCUCUGAGCACUCAGUUGAUGGAGAAUUUUACGACGCCGAGAUGCAUAUUGUCCACAUAAAGCAACCGUAUGGUUCUUUAGAUGAAAUUAAAUCCCAACCCGACGGUCUUGCAGUAAUAGGUGUCCUUAUAAGAGCAACAGACCAACAAAACAACGAUAUUCAGAAACUUCUGGAUGUAGCUCAACUUUGUGAAUACGCAGGCGACACACACAUAUUAGAAGAUGGACCAGAAUUAAUCAAUCUACUUCCAUCAUCUGUGAGUUAUUAUCGCUAUCAUGGCUCACUUACUACCCCACCAUGUUAUGAAACUGUACAGUGGACGGUAUACAAAGAACCCAUAUAUAUUUCCCAUCAACAGUUACGGAUUCUGCAACAGUUAAGCGCAUCGAAAAAUCCAGAUUCAAUAAAUUCUGAAAAUCAUGAUGGAGAAAAUUCACAUGAUACGAGUGCGUCAUCACAUGAUACAGUUGAUUCACGUGAAUCAAAUGAUGUAAAACUUAGUGAUAACUUCAGACCCAUACAACAAUUAAACGGGAGAAUUGUUUCUGCAUACUAUGAUAUUGAUGUUGCAAAAAGCAAUUCUACACAUGGUUGGAGAUACAAAAAUGAAGGUCCUAGAAGUUGGCUUGCAGAGUAUUCCACGUGUAAUGGCAACAAACAAUCACCAAUUAAUCUCAUUUCAACCAUCAGUGAAUCAGAUGAAGUUCAUGGUUUAGAAUUCUCUUCUUCCUACAAUAAACCUGCUUCUGGAUUUCUUGAAAAUAAUGGACAUACCGUAAUGUUUGAGAUUGACGAGCACCUUGAGUUAACUUUCAACGAGAACGAUCGCUUGUUUCAAGUUGAACAACUCCACUUCCACUGGGGGGCAGCAACGAGUGACGGGGAUACGAAAUUAAAAGUCACCGGGGGUUCAGAACAUACGGUGGACCAGAAACAUUUUCCAAUUGAGAUGCACAUCGUGCACACGAACAUCUCCCCGGAUGACCCGGACACAGAUGAAGAAGAUCGGAUGUUAGAAGAUCAGUUCGGAGUACUCGGUGUCUUCUUUGAGAUCGCAGAAGAUGGAAUUACGGAAACGGCGGACACAACUUUGGGAAUGAUCACUGACAUGCUGCAUAAAGUUAAAUAUAAAGAUAACAGUGUUCGUAUGGAUACCGGGCCAAUAUUAUUGGAUUUAUUGCCACAAAAUAAAACAUAUUAUCGAUACAUGGGAUCUCUUACUACCCCACCAUGCACAGAAGCUGUUCAAUGGACUGUGUUUUAUCAUUCAAUUCCUGUGUCUAAAGAACGAUUGCUUGAAUUUCAAAACUUAUUUAAAGUUGAGGAAAAUGAAAUAACUCCUUUAAGCAACACAAAGCAAUUAUCACAAACCAGUAAGACACCCAAGAUCUUUACAUCAGCGGAAACUAUCGACCCGUGCAAACAUACGAUGGGAGGAUCGUUCUACUUCAUGUGGAUCAUACUGUUGUUGUUGAAACAGGACCAGACAUUUUACAACUUGUGUUAUGGACCAUUGCUGGCAUAGCGGUUUUUGCAGCUUUGCUUUCAAUUAUUGUUUGUUGCAAGAAUAAACAGAAAAAACCUAAAGACCAAUAUUCUGCCAAGUAUCAAAUAGGAAAGCAAGAUGAAGAUGUUAUAUCAGUGUGAAAAAAUGUUCCAAUGUUUUUUAUCCAAAAGUUCCAAAUUGCCAAGUGCCUUAAUUGUUUUUUAAUUUAAAUUUUUACUGUUUGUGAAUACUAAACUUCCCAACUGUGUUUUAAACAUACUUUGUUACUGUAAUUCUGUUUUGAAUUUUUACUGCACAUACAAAAUAAUAUAAAAAAAUGAGCUGUUUUUUGGUUUAAUUAAAAAUUCACUAAUUUAGUUUAGAUAAUAACUGUAAAUAAAUUUAGCAGGGUAAUAUUAAUUAGUUUAUCUUAUAUAUAUACCCUACUACAGUGACUCGUUUUGCCAAAGUUUCCAAAUGUACAGAUGUUUUUAGUUGUUUAUUUUAUUUUCUAUUGUGGGCCAAAUCUAAAUUGAAAUGUCUAUGCAUUUUUACCACCUUUGAUGCCUAUGUGUUAAUUAUUGUUAAAUAGUUUUAAUUAUUGGUGCAAGGUGCUUUUAUGUGUAAUUAAAACAUAGUAUUGUAG